Molecule: ribosomal RNA, 420 nt
Filed under: uncultured bacterium
Lineage: Bacteria
Description: bacterial SSU rRNA
Rfam family: Bacterial small subunit ribosomal RNA
Source: RNAcentral
GAGGAAUAUUGGUCAAUGGACGGAAGUCUGAACCAGCCAUGCCGCGUGCAGGAAGACGGCCCUACGGGUUGUAAACUGCUUUUAUGUGAGAAUAACCCUAGUCUUGCGAGAUUAGCUGAAGGUAUUACAUGAAUAAGGAUCGGCUAACUCCGUGCCAGCAGCCGCGGUAAUACGGAGGAUUCGAGCGUUAUCCGGAUUUAUUGGGUUUAAAGGGUGCGUAGGCGGGCUAAUAAGUCAGUGGUGAAAUCACUCAGCUUAACUGAGUAACUGCCAUUGAUACUGUUAGUCUAGAAUAUAAAUGGUGCAGGCGGAAUGAAUCAUGUAGAGGUGACAUUCAUAGAUAUGAUUCAGAACACCGAUCGCGAAGGCAGCUUGCAAAGAUAUUAUUGACGCCGAGGCACGAAAGCGUGGGUAGCGAAC